GAUGAUCCCAGCUUGCUGGGGGAUUAGUGGCGAACGGGUGAGUAACACGUGAGUAACCUGCCCUUGACUCUGGGAUAAGCCUGGGAAACUGGGUCUAAUACCGGAUACGACCAUCUGACGCAUGUCAGGUGGUGGAAAGUUUUUGUGGUUUUGGAUGGACUCGCGGCCUAUCAGCUUGUUGGUGGGGUAAUGGCCUACCAAGGCGACAACGGGUAGCCGGCCUGAAAGGGUGACCGGCCACACUGGGACUGAAACACGGCCCAAACUCCUACGGGAGGCAGCAGUGGGGAAUAUUGCACAAUGGGCGCAAGCCUGAUGCAGCGACGCCGCGUGAGGAUGACGGCCUCGGGUUGUAACCUCUUUCAGUAGGGAAGAAGCAAAAGUGACGGUACCUGCAGAAGAAGCGCCGGUAACUACGUGCCACAGCCGCGGUAAUACGUAGGGCGCAAGCGUUAUCCGAAUUAUUGGGCGUAAAGAGCUCGUAGGCGGUUUGUCGCGUCUGCUGUGAAAGACCGGGGCUCAACUCCGGUUCUGCAGUGGGUACGGGCAGACUAGAGUGAUGUAGGGGAGACUGGAAUUCCUGGUGUAGCGGUGAAAUGCGCAGAUAUCAGGAGGAACACCGAUGGCGAAGGCAGGUCUCUGGGCAUUAACUGACGCUGAGGAGCGAAAGCAUGGGGAGCGAACAGGAUUAGAUACCCUGGUAGUCCAUGCCGUAAACGUUGGGCACUAGGUGUGGGGGACAUUCCACGUUUCCGCGCGUAGCUACGCAUUAAGUGCCCGCCUGGGGAGUACGGCGCAGCUAAACUCAAAGAUUGACGGGGGCCCGCACAAGCGGCGGAGCAUGCGGAUUAAUUCGAUGCAACGCGAAGAACCUUACCAAGGCUUGACAUGAACCGGUAAUACCUGGAAACAGGUGCCCCGCUUGCGGUCGGUUUACAGGUGGUGCAUGGUUGUCGUCAGCUCGUGUCGUGAGAUGUUGGGUUAAGUCCCGCAACGAGCGCAACCCUCGUUCUAUGUUGCCAGCGCGUUAUGGCGGGGACUCAUAGGAGACUGCCGGGGUCAACUCGGAGGAAGGUGGGGACGACGUCAAAUCAUCAUGCCCCUUAUGUCUUGGGCUUCACGCAUGCUACAAUGGCCGGUACAAAGGGUUGCGAUACUGUGAGGUGGAGCUAAUCCCAAAAAGCCGGUCUCAGUUCGGAUUGGGGUCUGCAACUCGACCCCAUGAAGUCGGAGUCGCUAGUAAUCGCAGAUCAGCAACGCUGCGGUGAAUACGUUCCCG
RNAcentral lists this ribosomal RNA (1279 nucleotides) under Paenarthrobacter nitroguajacolicus. Its description in RNAcentral is "bacterial SSU rRNA". It matches the Rfam family "Bacterial small subunit ribosomal RNA", at positions 68 to 1376 of the family's 1533-position model. Lineage: Bacteria; Bacillati; Actinomycetota; Actinomycetes; Micrococcales; Micrococcaceae. The record is from RNAcentral.